This 463-nucleotide ribosomal RNA is filed under the name Salmonella enterica. Its description in RNAcentral is "bacterial SSU rRNA". It matches the Rfam family "Bacterial small subunit ribosomal RNA", at positions 1050 to 1513 of the family's 1533-position model. Lineage: Bacteria; Pseudomonadati; Pseudomonadota; Gammaproteobacteria; Enterobacterales; Enterobacteriaceae. RNAcentral also lists the same sequence under 2 other names. The record is from RNAcentral.
UGUCGUCAGCUCGUGUUGUGAAAUGUUGGGUUAAGUCCCGCAACGAGCGCAACCCUUAUCCUUUGUUGCCAGCGAUUAGGUCGGGAACUCAAAGGAGACUGCCAGUGAUAAACUGGAGGAAGGUGGGGAUGACGUCAAGUCAUCAUGGCCCUUACGACCAGGGCUACACACGUGCUACAAUGGCGCAUACAAAGAGAAGCGACCUCGCGAGAGCAAGCGGACCUCAUAAAGUGCGUCGUAGUCCGGAUUGGAGUCUGCAACUCGACUCCAUGAAGUCGGAAUCGCUAGUAAUCGUGGAUCAGAAUGCCACGGUGAAUACGUUCCCGGGCCUUGUACACACCGCCCGUCACACCAUGGGAGUGGGUUGCAAAAGAAGUAGGUAGCUUAACCUUCGGGAGGGCGCUUACCACUUUGUGAUUCAUGACUGGGGUGAAGUCGUAACAAGGUAACCGUAGGGGAACCU